This 398-nucleotide ribosomal RNA is filed under the name uncultured bacterium. RNAcentral's name for it is "partial 16S ribosomal RNA". It matches the Rfam family "Bacterial small subunit ribosomal RNA", at positions 523 to 918 of the family's 1533-position model. The record is from RNAcentral.
AUACGUAGGGUGCGAGCGUUGUCCGGAAUUACUGGGCGUAAAGAGCUCGUAGGUGGUUUGACGCGUCGUCUGUGAAAUUCCGGGGCUUAACUCCGGGCGUGCAGGCGAUACGGGCAUAACUUGAGUACUGUAGGGGAGACUGGAAUUCCUGGUGUAGCGGUGAAAUGCGCAGAUAUCAGGAGGAACACCGGUGGCGAAGGCGGGUCUCUGGGCAGUAACUGACGCUGAGGAGCGAAAGCAUGGGUAGCGAACAGGAUUAGAUACCCUGGUAGUCCAUGCCGUAAACGGUGGGCGCUAGGUGUAGGGGUCUUCCACGACUUCUGUGCCGUAGCUAACGCAUUAAGCGCCCCGCCUGGGGAGUACGGCCGCAAGGCUAAAACUCAAAUGAAUUGACGGGG